Molecule: ribosomal RNA, 486 nt
Filed under: uncultured bacterium
Lineage: Bacteria
Description: bacterial SSU rRNA
Rfam family: Bacterial small subunit ribosomal RNA
Source: RNAcentral
ACGACUACACUCCUACGGGAGGCAGCAGUGGGGAAUAUUGGAUAAUGGGGGGAACCCUGAUCCAGCCAUGCCGCGUGUGUGAAGAAGGCCUUUUGGUUGUAAAGCACUUUAAGCGAGGAGGAGGCUACUCUAGUUAAUACCUAGGGAUAGUGGACGUUACUCGCAGAAUAAGCACCGGCUAACUCUGUUCCAGCAGCCGCGGUAAUACAGAGGGUGCGAGCGUUAAUCGGAUUUACUGGGCGUAAAGCGUGCGUAGGCGGCUUUUUAAGUCGGAUGUGAAAUCCCUGAGCUUAACUUAGGAAUUGCAUUCGAUACUGGGAAGCUAGAGUAUGGGAGAGGAUGGUAGAAUUCCAGGUGUAGCGGCGAAAUGCGUAGAGAUCUGGAGGAAUACCGAUGGCGAAGGCAGCCAUCUGGCCUAAUACUGACGCUGAGGUACGAAAGCAUGGGGAGCAAACAGGAUUAGAAACCCCUGUAGUCCACCAAUCC